This 305-nucleotide ribosomal RNA is filed under the name uncultured bacterium. RNAcentral's name for it is "bacterial SSU rRNA". It matches the Rfam family "Bacterial small subunit ribosomal RNA", at positions 333 to 655 of the family's 1533-position model. The record is from RNAcentral.
UGGGUCCUACGGGACGCAGCAGUGGGGGAUAUUGCACAAUGGGGGAAACCCUGAUGCAGCGACGCCGCGUGAGCGAUGAAGUAUUUCGGUAUGUAAAGCUCUAUCAGCAGGGAAGAAAAUGACGGUACCUGACUAAGAAGCCCCGGCUAACUACGUGCCAGCAGCCGCGGUAAUACGUAGGGGGCAAGCGUUAUCCGGAUUUACUGGGUGUAAAGGGAGCGUAGAUGGCGCGGCAAGUCUGAAGUGAAAGGCAGGGGCUUAACCCCUGAACUGCUUUGGAAACUGCCAUGCUAGAGUGCUGGAGA